GUUGCUGACUAUUAAACAUAUUAACAAUGCAAAGUGUACAACAGGCUCUUCCAUAGCCAUGGUUUUGCUUUCCAAGGUUUUGGUUACCUGUAGUCAACCAGGAUCAGAAAAUAGGUGACUAUAGUACAAUAAAACAGGUGAAAAUUGAUGACUACAGUACAAUAAGAAUAAAAUAGGUGAAAAACAGUGAAUAAAGUACAAUAAGAUGUUUUGAGAGAGCCGACAUUCACAUAGCCUUCAUUAUAAUAUAUUGGUCUAAUUGUUAUAUUUUAUUCUUAGUUGCUGUUGCUGAUCUCUUACUAUGCCUAAUUUACAAAUUAAAUUUUAUUACAGGUAUGCAUGUAUAGGAAAACACAUAGUAUAUAUGGAGUUCGAGACUAUCUGAGGAUUCAGGCAUCCACUGAGGGGCUUGACACAUAACUUCCACUAAUAAGGGGGAACUACUGUAUAUAAGUCGUAACUGAUGCUUCAGGAAGAUGCCCUGAAUGUCACUGGUGUGAAUCACAAUGAGAACAAUGUGCUUUCAAAUGAAGAGGAAACCAGCUCUCAGGAAGGAGGAAACACUCAACCACGGCAAUCCUUCUACUAAGUCAGACAGUGUGGACGGCCAAUUAUUUUAUCAUUUUCAUAAACUAAGAAUGGUAAUUUCAACCUAAUAGGUGCCUAUGAGAUAAGAGGCAGACAAACGUAACAAAUCUAUUACACAACCUGACUUUGGUAGGUGCUAUUUUCUAACUUUGAUUCAGUCUGCUCUUUACCUGGAUUGUCAAUAAAAAAGACCAAUAAAUCAUAAAGUAUUGCAGUUGAAUAAUUACGAUAACAUUUGUUCUCUCACAUUGCUAUAAAGAAAUACCUGAGACUGGGUAAUUUAUGUAGAAAAGAGGUUGACUUGGCUCACGUUUCUGCAGGCUGUUAAGGAAGCAUAGCAGCUUCUGCUUCUGGGGAGGACUCAGGAG
RNAcentral lists this long non-coding RNA (956 nucleotides) under Macaca nemestrina (pig-tailed macaque). RNAcentral's name for it is "lncRNA (ENSMNEG00000045659.1)". Lineage: Eukaryota; Metazoa; Chordata; Mammalia; Primates; Cercopithecidae. The record is from RNAcentral.